Solanum lycopersicum (tomato) is the source of this 5411-nucleotide non-coding RNA. The record is from RefSeq and is a predicted model, not a curated record. Lineage: Eukaryota; Viridiplantae; Streptophyta; Magnoliopsida; Solanales; Solanaceae.
UGUGACUAUAAAAGCUUGCUAAAUUUGAAGUGGCUUUUCUUGAGCAAGUCCUAAAUUUGUUAAAUCAACAGAAAUAGUUGUGGCAGAAAAUAUCAAAGAACCAAUGAUAUGGCUCCACGUUUUCCAAAGAAAUUAUACGUAGAUGGAGAAGGUGGUCCCACAAAGCCAUGGAAAUCGUCACUUCAUUACGGUUAAAAUUUGAUCAUCACUCACGGUAAGCGUCAUUUCCUGUUCCUCACUCUUCCAAUACACAAACUCAAUCAACACUCAAAUCUGCUUGAGGAGCUCAUCUUUGGAGUAGUGGUGCUCGCUUCAAUCAGCUUCAUCAACAAGUAAGUUACGGCUCCAUUUCUCUUUGAACUCGCCAAAUUUUGCUUAAUUGCUUCAUAGAUGAUAUAUUUAAGUUUGAAAUUGAGGUUAGGGUUUCUACAGUUGCAUUGAAGAAUCGCCUUCGCUAAGCUAAUUAUUUUUGCUCCUACAUUUCGGUUUUUGCUUGAUGAAGUUCUAAUCAUGGAUAUUUUGCGUAUCUUCUCUUUUAGUUUGUGAAACUAUUUUUUACUGGAUGUUUGUGUGUGUCGGUGUGUGUAUGUAUUAGUCAUGGAAAGAUACAUCUCUCAUUUUGAUAAUUCUAGUUGUUUGAUCAAUGAUAAAUUAGUUCCGGAUGACGAUAACACAGCUUUUCUGAUAAUGAAUAAGAUGAAGAAUAAUCUAGAAGCAACUAAAGUUGUCUCUGAAACUAUGUUGGCUAACUAUGUAAGAGAUAACGAAGGAGAUGUAAUGGAAGAAGAUGUUAGGGGUAACAAUGAAGAUACUGCUGUUAUAGACAAAGAUAACAAAAGAGACUCACUUGGUAAAGAUGAAUAUGAAGGAAAUGACGAAAAAAAGAAUAUAGAAAAAUUGGAAGCUAUUACAAAUCAAAAGACCAAAAAAUCUAUGAAAGGAAUACACGGAAGAGAGAGUCAAAUGAAAACCCUGAAGGGAAGGGUGAAAUUAAGCAGGUUCUGAAGAAAGUAGCCUCUGAAGGCAAGGUUAAUGAGUACUGUGGAAACUUGGCGCCCAAAGGUGACAAUGAUCAGUAUUCUAAGGGAACAGAAAUGGGAAAUUUGGUCUCCACAUGUGAUGAUGAAAGCUCUAAGAAGGUAACCCCUGGAAAUGAAGCUACCUGAGAAAUUGUCUAGUGAAGGCAGAGAUAUUCCUGAGCAGGUUGAUAGCACGGGUAUGAUAUUCAUGUGCAAUUCUGAGACAAAGAAGGAAUGCUAUUGAUACAAGGUUAUGGGACUCCCAGCAAACAAGAGAGAGAUGGUUGAAAAAGUUUAUAAAGGGAUGAAACUCUUUCUAUGUGACGUUGAUUUGAAAUUGAUGUAUGGUAUCUACAAAGCUGCAGAAAAUGGCAGUUUUAGCAUUGAACCCAAGGCAUUUAAGUCUCGAUUCCCAUCCCAGGUAUGUUAGUUGUGCUAUGAGUUUCUUUGUAUCUCACCUUUUACUGCUUUAUGAUUUUUUUGCUUUGAAGAACGUUGCUAGUCGUAAAAUGCAAAAGUAAAGUUGGUUUUGACCAAUAACUGAAAUGAGCUAACAACAUCUCUGGGAUCUGUAGAGGAUGAGCUAUAAGACCUCAAUACAUUAUCAACAAGGGUUAACAUUUAGCUGCUGUGUUUUCCCACCUGUUCCAAUUCUGAGCAAAAUCCCUCCUUCCUUGUCUUUUGUCUCUGGUGUUCUCCGCCUUGGACUAAUGAUUGUUUUCCUGACUGAUGGGAAGAGGGGUAAUUGAGGGAAGUUGAGAGUUCCUGAGAAGGGAUUUCGCACGAUAAAAUUUGUUGACAUUGUUACUUCACAAAAUUAGUCAUGAAGAUAAAGUUACAGUCAAUUUUUGUUGAGGUACUGUAUUUUUUUUCAGUAGGCUGUGACUUAUAAUAUCUGUUGAUUUCCUACGCGAGAACAGUGAGAGGAGGUAAAUUUCAGCAUCUAUGUAUGCUUUGUAAACACUUGACGAGGGAACGUCUUAAAUGGUUUUCAAUGUUUGAUGCUCAGGUCUGCGAUGGUUUGUUAGUGAAUAGUAACUAUUUGUAUGGACCUUUGAUUCUUUUUCUAUACAAAAAAAUAAUAAUUUAUGCUAUAGGCAGUUAGGCACAAAGCCAACGAAGGAAAGAUAAUAAGCUGAAUUUGAUUGGUUAGAAAUGCUGAACUUCUUCCAUUUUUUUUUAAGAAGGGGGGAUAUUAAAUUUGGUUGUGGAGCCUGCAUUUUAUAUCAUAGAACAUACGAGGAGACCUAAUUUACAUGCAGUUUAAUUUAACUGCAGAAUGGCUCAGAAGAGACAGGUUGAUUGAUGAGGAACACUUUUGAUUCUUGGAUCCUAAAUAUCUUUCUUUGAGUUUGUUGUUCAAGUUAUAAUAGCUAUUUAUGUCACUAGAAUUGGUGCUAUUAAUAGUCAAAGCAAGUAUAAUUUGCUUCCAGUUUAGCACUAUGACUUCAAAUUAGAGAUGGAUGCUUUUAUUUUCUUGAUAGGUAAAUAUUGUAAAACUAUAGUGAAGGCAUCAAAAAGGGCCACCUGUUGUAUGCAAACAAACAAAAAAGGAGUAGAAUUCAAACUUCUUAGAUGAAGCAUGUACAUAAGUUGUUAGCAUAUGAGUGACACUUAGGGGCUUCUCUUUUGUUAUAUUUUGUGUGUGUAUUUUGAUAUUGGGGUGAAAGGUGGGGAGACUAGGAGUACGAUGGAUGGGAUUUACGGAGUUAUCUUUCAUUUUGUUUCUUUGGAUUGGAAUACUUUGUCGAGUAAGGGCUGGUGGUGGUUUUGGGUUCUAGAAUUGUAUUGGUGCUUAUGUUUAGUGCAGUUCAUGGAUAUGAUCUUUUGAAUGCCCUCUUUGUCUUAACUAUAUGUUUGAUGAUUCGGGUCUGUUUUUCCAUUGUUGAUGAUUGCUUACCAUUAGUAGAGGAGAAAUUUAGGGAAGUAAUUCAAACAAACUAUUACACGAAGACAAAGUUUAAUUGUAAAUUGACCUCUGAACAGGUAUCUGCACAUUGUAUUUGCAUUUAUUGGAAAUCCUUAGAUUUGUUUGGAUGGUGAUAAUAUUUAUGUUUCCUGGUGGAUCAUGCCAACAUUUUUUGUGUAUUUGUUGCAAAUCAAUUGGUGAAGAAUUUGUGUAGGCUUUUCAUUUCUGCUAGCAAAGCGUCGGGUGUACAACUCAAAUCAGAGACCAGUACUAUGGACAAGACAAGUUUAACUAAGGGGCGGCGCAUGGAUAAAAGUAGACAGCCUGAACAUGUUCGACAAACUAAGUGGAUGGAAGAGCCUAGGUACCACUCACAUCCACAUCUGCUGAAAAGCGAUGUAGUUACAACUCCAUUGCUGCCAUUAGCUUGGCCUCAAAAUUCACAACCACUUCCUGCUGGUCAAUCACAUAACAAAGCUUUGGAAAACAGUGUUUAUGGAUGUGACACAAUGACACAUAAUCGUGAUACUUCCAGAGAGGGACGACUGGUGGAGCCUCACGGUUCUUAUAGGCGGACAAACUGCUAAAUCCUGAUAUUUACAGAGGAGAGACUCUAGCAGAGCAUUAUGACUAUCCCAGAUAGGAUGCAUUAGUAGAGCUUCACGAAUAUCAGCUAGUAAAUGUGGAAGCAGGACUCCAGGAUGUUGUAAACCAUCAUCCCUAUGCUUUAUACUCUGCGAAUUUGUCCUCCCAAGGUCCUGUGUACUCGCCACAUCCCACGUAUAAUCCUCCACCAGGCUUACGACCUGAGUAUCGUCUUGGUAGCCUAGUAAGUGAGUACAGUUCUACCAGCGGCAUGCCCCUGAGUACCAAUCAUCUCCAAACCCUCUGUCCGCGUUCGAUUAUCAUCAACCCGUAUACUCUCAAGAUCCUGUGUACUCGCCACAUCCCACGUAUAAUCCUCCAUCAGGCUUACGACCUGAAUACCAUCUUGGUAGCCUAUUAAGUGAGUACAGUUCUACCAGAGGCAUGCCUCUUGAAUGUCUCCAAAUUCUCUGCCCGUGUUCCAUUAUCAUCAACCCGUAUACUCCCAAGAUCCUGUGUACUCACCACAUCCCACGUAUAAUCCUCCACCAGGCUUACGACUUGAAUACCGUCUUGGUAGCCUAUUAAGUGAGUACAGUUCUACCAGAGGCAUGCCUCAUGAGUGUUAUUCAUCUCCAAACUCUCUGCCCGCUUUCCAUUAUCAUCAACCCGUAUACUCCCAAGAUUCUGUGUACACACCACAUCCCACGUAUAAUCCACCAUUAGGCUUACGACCUGAAUACCGUCUUGGUAGCCUAUUAAGUGAGUACAGUUCUACCAGAGGAAUUCCUCAUGAGUACCAUUAAUCUCCAAACUCUAUGCCCGCGUUCAAUUAUCAUCAAUCUGUAUGCUCCCAAGAUCCUGUGUACUCGCCACAUCCCACAUAUAAUCCUCCACCAGGCUAACGACCUGAUACUAUUUGGUAGCCUAUUAUGUGAGUACAGUUCUACCAGUCAUGCUUCCUGAGUACCAUUCAUCUCCAAACUCUCUGCCCCCGUUCCAUUGUCAUCAACUCGUAUACCGAUAUUAGGUUCCGUCAAAGGUAUGGUAACUCUUCCCACUAGAAUUCAGCUUGAAUGUUUGACUAUUUAGUGAUUCAAUCUUUACGUGUUUCUGUAAUACUGAUAGUUUACUGUGUAGUUUGAGCAAAAUUUCAUCAGAUGGUAGCCCUUUGUUUUCCAAAAGUUCUGUUGCCAUCACUUUUGCAGAGUAGACAUCCGUUCAGACAGGAUUUUACAGCUUGUUCUAUAAACCCGUGAAAUUUACAAGAUGGAUCCUGAAUUACAUGAUCGUGACUCAAGCUGAGCUUAGCAAAGGUAGAUGAACUCAACUCUUGGCAAACUGAAGGUACAUGAACUCAACUGUCUCACCAAAUGAGAGAUCAUUGUUCUAUUUUGAUUGACAUUAUUGCCACAGAUGCUUGAGGAUAUUUCAUGGAUGAAGCUUCAUUUGCUCAAAUCUUUCAGUAGUAUCUUAUACUUUUGACUAGUCUUCCUUUGACAUGGUGAUAACAGACAGUUAAGGCACUGCUACAAAAAUUGUGGUCUAGGCCUCACAAUAAAGAGAAUAAUGAUGACUAAACGAGGUCUAGGCCUCACAAUACAGGGAAUAAUGAUGACUAAACGAGGUGUAAGCCUCAGUUCAUCAGUCUGCAAUCUUAACAAGAUAGGAGUAACAAAAACCCUUCUCACUCUAGCUACUCAUGCACUUAAAAAAUUAUUGUAAAUUGUUAAUCAAGAGGUAGUUUGUUUCUCAAAUUGUAUAGUAACACAUCUAUUAAUUGGUUGGUAGUCUUCUGCCUUGAGAAAACAACCAGAGACAAAUAACUUGAUUUGAUUAUCCAUGUACGAACAGUUCCUAUUUCAACAGAGUAAAUUACCAUUAUGUCAGUCUAAUAA